GCAUCUCUCUGCAUCCAGUGACCAGCAUGACAAACACCUGCUGCUUGUUUGUUCUCGUCCUGUCCCCAAGCAGCAAUGUGCACACAGAUGUCUUCUGUUUAAACAAGCAAAACAUAACAUGUUGCUUGUUUUUUUAACCUACAGAUCUUUUAAGUGGAUGUCAUUAAGCCUUUAGAGUCGAAGUGAAGUCUAUGAGGUGUGAGGGAAGAAGCAGCUGAAAAGAUAGGGGGACAGAGGAGUGAGAGGAACCUCUUCAGUUCUCCACUCUCCAUACAACAGCAGCUUCACCUGUAGCUCACAGAGGAGAGAAAAACACAUGCAAACAGCAGCAGAAGAUGCAUCUUAACUGACCUCUGAAAAGCUCAGAGACUGCUUGGAAGUCAAAGGCACAAACACAGGGCUCUCAUGGGCAUCACAGCAGGACAAACAGUGUCAGUCAUCAUCUUCCUCUUCAUCAUCGUCAUCAUGGCACAACCUGUUUUGCUCUGUCUGCAGAACAAUGCAUCAGGUCGUGGCUUGAUCGCACACGGAAGGAGCCGGGCAGCACCGAGGCUGUGGCUGGGCAGGGAGCCGGGCAGCACCGGGGCUGCGGCGGGAGGAGCCGGGCAGCACCGGGGCUGCGGCGGGAGGAGCCGGGCAGCCCUGGGCUGCGGAAGCCCCACUGCAGCUGCUGAGGAAGUAAUGACUCACAGAAUACUGGUGUGGGUGCAUCCACCAUUCCUCUCAAAUGCUGGUAUUCACUCACACAGGGAGUAAAACCAAUAGGAAAUUAUAAGAGUGUUCCAACCCAUGUUUUGAGCAUGCAGCUCCGUCUCCCUUUGCUUCUCUGUCCUGUGCUCUCUGGUGUGUCUUGCUGGAGCUCAGGUGCAAGAUGCCUGUCCCCUCACACAUAUUCAGGGAGGCCAUCAACAACACUUUUUGGAGAGGGCAUGUACUUGUGCUGCUGACUGUGCCAGUGGACAACCUCAGAAGCAGAGAAGAUGCCAGGCAGGCCAGAGAAGAGGAGAGUAUCCCCUGCCAGCCUGCAGCCCAGACAGACAGGCAAAGCCCAGCCCUGGCUGGAGCUAAACAUGGCCUCAUUUCAUGGCAAAACAAUUCCUCUUUGUGCAGCCUGUUCUCCCAGAACAAUCCUCUGCUCUGACAAUAUCCUUUCUGUGGCUUAGCCUCUGUGGAGUGAGCAGCAGUGUGCUCAGCCUGAUGCCUGGCAGCUCACACCCUGCUGCCCCAUGGCUGAGGUGCAGCACCUGAAACCCCUGCCCUGGGCAGCCUCUGCUGAGGACUCUGUGGCCACUUCAGGUCAAGGCAAAGUCUUCUCAGGAAAGUCCCCAGCACAGCCUAAAGCACUUGGGAGGGUUUUUUCUUCUACCUUUGCUCACUCCGUGGAGCUGCAUGGCACUGCUGUUCCCCAAGUUAGGAGGACAGGCUGGGACACAGUUGUGGAGUGUGACAUAUGGGUGUCAAGUCACCAAAUCUGACCAAAUCACAACUGCCUGAGUGAAGAAGUCACCUAGCUUCGCCAAGC
This is a long non-coding RNA of Onychostruthus taczanowskii (white-rumped snowfinch), 1522 nucleotides long. RefSeq lists it as uncharacterized. The record is from RefSeq and is a predicted model, not a curated record. The transcript has 4 exons. NCBI's taxonomy places the organism in Eukaryota, Metazoa, Chordata, Aves, Passeriformes, Passeridae.